CUAAAUUGUUGUUUAUUAGUUUUUAAUAAAAACUUUAUAUUUGAAAUCUUUGUUAUUUUUAUUUGUUGAUCUAUUAAUUUCUUGAAGUCAAUAAUUUUCUUAGUUUAAUGAAAUUUUUUUUAGAGAGUUUUUUUAAAAAAUAAUAAAUUUGGUGCCAGCAUUUGCGGUUAGACUAAGAUUUUUAAAAACAUAUAUUAAGGUAAAUAAUUAAUUGAAUUUUAUUGUGUAUUAUAGGUGAAAUUUUUUUUUUUAUUAAAAAAUUCUUAAUAUUUCAUAAAAAUGAAGUUUUGAACUAGGAUUAGAUACCCUACUACAAUCAAAUUUAUUUCCUUAAAAGAUUAUAUAUAAAAUUUGAAAAUUUGGCGGCUUUUUUAUUUAGAGGAACUUGUCUAUUGAAUUGAUAAUCCUCAUUAUUUUGUUUUUGAAUUUAAUUUUGUAUACCAUCAUUUAAAUAAUUUUUAAAUAAUAAAUUAUUAUGAGGUUUUAGAAGAAUUUAGAUCCAGGUGCAGAUAUAUUUAAAAUUAGAUUAGUUACAAUAAUUAAUUAUACAAUAAUAAGUUAAUUUUUAGUGAAAGGCGGAUUUAAAUGUAAUAUAUUAAUAUAUAUGAAAUGAUAAAUUUAGUGUACAAAUUGCCCGUCACUCUCUUUGAGAUAAGUCGAAACAAAGUAGAAACACCUGAAGGUGUUUCU
RNAcentral lists this ribosomal RNA (690 nucleotides) under Metacrangonyx panousei. RNAcentral's name for it is "12S ribosomal RNA". The record is from RNAcentral. Lineage: Eukaryota; Metazoa; Arthropoda; Malacostraca; Amphipoda; Metacrangonyctidae.